AGGGUAUAAAUAUAGGCUGAAAGACAAUGUAAAGGAUAUAUAUCAAUCAAUAUCAAAUACAAAUUUACUCCUACUUUUGCAUCUACUUUUCGACAACUUCAUCAGUUUACAUACUUUUCUUUUUACGAGUUCUCAUCGAUUCGACGAGUUACACGUUCCAGUGUAAUUCUCGACGAUCCUCGAGUUCUGCGUGGGCACCUCUUGGCCGUGACAUCAGGACGCAUCGCUGUGAUCGGGACCAAAGUGUUUAAAUUUUCGUCCUUGUCGAUUAUUAGGUCAAAUCGACUGGCACAUCUUGAAAUCGAAAUCGGGUAUUAGUCUUUUGUGUUUGCCGAUCCACUUUUGCAACAACACAAUGUUAGAUGUGCAUCGUGAUACUAUUGUUAAUAAUGAUUUAUUUUUAUUUUGGAAAUGUUAUGCUUCCACUAUGCCAGAAACACACAAACAAGACAUUACAUCACAAACUGACCAACAUUAGAGAUGGGGUCCAACCGUACGCAUCUCUGAUAUUUGCUUUCCACAAGCUACGUAUGAGGUCGCCUCUCAUCAUACAUGCGCCGCCCCUGUUAAGGCCCAUCUAUGAUGGGAGAGCACACACGAUACCAUAACCCAAAACUAACAUUGGACAUGGAUCUGUACAAGUAUCAAAGCACCGAUGGAAGAUUGCUAAGGCCAGUCUUAAUAAAAUUUUCAUGUGAGUUUUAUUUGCAUUAAAUAAGUUAUCAUAUAAACUUUUUGAGGACAUGGCGGUCACUGCUACAUAAUGGGGCUUUAGCCUCGGCUGGGAAGGGGCUUUAGCUCCGGAUUCCGAGCCAGGACUAGGCUUGCGAGACUAAAGGCCCCCUUUUAGUCACGGCUCCGUGCACCAGGGCUAAAGCCCCCUCUUUAGUCCCGGACAGUAUUACUAGUCGGGACUAAAGGGUGCUGCCAGUUGUGCCACGUAGCAGCACCCUUUAGUCCCAGCUCGUAAUACCGCCUGGGACUAAAGGGGCCCCUGGUUUUUUCUUUUUUCUUUUCUUUUCAGUUUUGUUUUUUAGUUUUGUUUACUUAUACACUAGGUUUUCCAAUAUGUAUUCAUUGCUACUAAUAUAUAUAAUAUAUAUUAUAUAUACUAGCAGCAUAUGACAAUAAGCUUAUUGCAUGCAUAUAUAAUUGGAUUGUAGAACCUAUAUAUAUAUAUAUAUAUAAUUUUACGCACAUAAAACUAUAUAUAUAUAGAAGUUGUUCUCCAAAUCUAUAACAAGUUGUACUCCAAAGUUACUACUCUAGAAGUUGUACUCAAAUGCAGGGAAAUAACCCACCUCACGGUCCGGACACUUGUAGAAUAUAACUUCACUACUACAGAAGAGGCCUUUGGACGAUUGCCAAAAUCGCCAAUAGUCUCGACAAUUUUAGUCCCCGAGAUUAAAGGCACCUUUAGUCCCGGCCCGUAACACGUGCCGGGACUAAAGGGUCCUGCCCAACGGCUACCUAACGGUUACCUGUCAGGGUUGUCGGGGCAGGGACCCUUUAGUUCCGACUCGUGUUACGGUCUGGGACUAAAGGUGUCCCAUUAGUCCCAGGGCAAGCCAACAGCCGGGACUAAAGAUUUAGCUCCGGUUGGUGGCUUGCCCCGGGACUAAGGGGACUCCUUUUAGUCCCUAUUCUUUCUUCAGCUCGGUCCCUGUUCUUUCUUCAGCCCGAGACUAAAAGCCCACGCUAUAAAUCAUGGUCACUUCUUUCUGGUCGAGGCCGAGCCCAUUCAAAUUUCAUUGAGCUGUUCUUGCUCUUGCCAUUGCUAGUUCUUGCUUGUUCUUCAUCUCCGGCGCCCAUUGGUGAUCUUCUUCGACUUCACCAUCGACUCUUCGUGUUUAUAGGUAACUAGCUUCAUCCUCCAAUGUAAAAAAAAUCUCAAAUAAUUAAUUAAUACAUAAUAUCUUUACAACCCACUAUCAAGUAGGCACAACAAUGAACCGCUUUUUGACAUGUUAUUACAAUCCUUUUAAUAAUCACCUCAUAUGUCCUCAAUUUUGGCGCCACUGACAUUGUUGAUGUUGAGCAGCAGG
RNAcentral lists this long non-coding RNA (2045 nucleotides) under Sorghum bicolor (sorghum). RNAcentral's name for it is "long non-coding RNA (SBIC_LNC008979)". The record is from RNAcentral. Lineage: Eukaryota; Viridiplantae; Streptophyta; Magnoliopsida; Poales; Poaceae.